RNAcentral lists this long non-coding RNA (287 nucleotides) under Prunus persica (peach). RNAcentral describes it as "long non-coding RNA (PPER_LNC003536)". Lineage: Eukaryota; Viridiplantae; Streptophyta; Magnoliopsida; Rosales; Rosaceae. The record is from RNAcentral.
AAACAAAGAAAAAGAGCUAUUUGCUACCGUUCUUGCCAAAGUGGUAGCAUACCAAUGUGUUUAUAUUCACAAGUCAUGCCUAUGGUCCAAAUUAACAUAGAAAAUCAAUCGACUACGAAGAUUUAUAAAUUAUUUUCUGUAGCAAUACUCACUUAUACAGAGAAACAAACACGAAAUUUAGAGAUGGAGAACGAGAAGCAAAAGAAAAAUAUAACACAUUACUAAAUUUUCCUAAAUAAAUAACUUCUUAAAAAUAAAAAGAUAUCACAUUUCCAACCACCAACCAA